GCCCAUAUAGCUCAGGAGGCAGAGCGCAUCCUUGGUAAGGAUGAGGUCGCCGGUUCGACCCCGGCUAUGGGCUCCA
Molecule: transfer RNA, 76 nt
Filed under: Ammonifex degensii
Lineage: Bacteria; Bacillati; Bacillota; Clostridia; Thermoanaerobacterales; Thermoanaerobacteraceae
Also listed under: 1 other name
Description: tRNA-Thr
Rfam family: tRNA
About the family: Transfer RNA (tRNA) molecules are approximately 80 nucleotides in length. Their secondary structure includes four short double-helical elements and three loops (D, anti-codon, and T loops).
Source: RNAcentral